UCCCAUUAUAUAUACAGAGAGACCAAGUUGUUUGGAUAAACAUUGAGCUGUUGUGCAAUCUGCAAUGAAGAUGGUGAUGAUGUGGGUGUUACUAUUGCUGUCGUUGUUAGCAUUGAUUCCUCACUCUUCCGCCUGUUAUGCGGAUGAUAGAAAUUCCCUGUUGGAUUUCAAAGAGGGCCUUAACUUCACUUCCUCUCUUUCCACGCUUCAAUCAUGGAAAGGAUUUAACUGUUGCGCGUGGGAAGGAAUCACCUGCCAUCUGUUAGCUUUAAUUUCCAGUUACUUGCAUAGAUUAUGGAUCUUAAUCAAUUCCUUUGUUGCAUCCAUAAUAUGUGGAUCGAAAGCCGCUUCUUUUGUCAAUUACUAUUAACUUUAGUUUCCUUCAUUCAUAACAAUUUAACAUAUAAGUCUAACUCAAGUUUCUUUUAGUUACAUCCACAAAGUGUGGAUCUAAACACAGCAAGGUGUAUGCACAUUGUAUGCCUUUUAUUAUUGUUUUUGAGAAAAGAAAAAGUUAAUAACAGUUUCAGAUUAUUUUCUUUCAAUACUCUAUUUUUUUUGUUCAUGCUCUGUAUUUUCUGUGUUUUUUGCCUGCAAAGUUUGUCUUUUUUUUCUUUUUCCAGCAGAUCAAUACUGCUACAGCUGUAAAUUUCACAUGGUAUCAGAGCGCAGGUCAUCGGUUCGAGUCCCUCAAGCCCUAGACCUUUCACUUAAUAAGUUUGGCUUAUUGAUGUGGUAUGUAGUGGGUAUGAAUCCUACAUGGUACAUGGUUGUAUCCAGCUCUAUCGUGUGGGAGGGUGUUGGCGUAGCAAUUAUAUCGAUGAUGAGAUCCCUCUCCACCACAAGUACGUGCUUUUGGUGUGAUGGCAAAAAUCUACAUGGUAUCAGAGCCUAGGAGCUAGAACAAAAAAAGCAGCUUUCAAUCCACAUAUUAUGGAUGCAACAAAGGAACUCGUUAAGAUCCAUAAUCUAUGCAGGUAACUGGAAAUUAACGCUAACACCCCCCUUAAGUCUAACUAAAGAUAUAGAAGAGGAAAGAAAUAAGGAAAGACGGAAAACCCAGUGGGAAGAAACCCCCCCCUCAAAAUAGAUGCUGACUAAGCAUGAAGGUUACGGUAUUGUAGUCUCCUUCAACCCAAGAAGAUCUUGGAGGAAGUGGAACCUCUGCUCAGUGAAUGCCUUCGUGAAGAUGUCAGCAACUUGGUGAGAAGUGGGACAGUACUGCAAAUCUAUGACUCCAUCAUGGAUCAAACCUCGGAUGUAGUGCAUAUGAAUCUCAAUAUGAUGAGUACAUUGAAGUUUUGCAGAGAUCCAGUUCAACGUCAAUGCAUCAAACAUAUUGAGAUUCAUAUACACUACAUCCGAGGUUAGAUUCUCAUAAUAAUCUAUCAGAUAUGAUACCAGAAGGUGGACAAAUGACGGCAUUUGAUUCUUCAUCAUUCUCGAACAAUUUAGAUCUAUGUGGGGCCUACAAAUCAAUGUAUCAUGCUUCUCCCAAUGAUGAUGGAAACAAAAAAGUGUUGGAGGAUAUAUGGUGGGAUGUGGGAAUAGGAAUGGGCUAUGCAUUUGGGUUUUCAGUUCUUAUUUUGAUUUUGUGUUCCUACAAAUCUUGGAGAGCAAAAUGUUUCAGAGUAAUGGAUGGCACUAUCGACUAUCUCUGUCAAACAUUCAGAGAAAGAUUAAGUCAUGUUUUCUGAUCUUCAUCUGCUAUGCAGCUUUAUAAUCAACAUACUAUGUAUACCAACAGAGGAACAGUCAAUGUGAAUGAAUUGACAGGAAAAGAUAAAUUAUUCAAUUGUAGUUUUACAGUAACUAGAGGGUGAUGGAUAAUUUUCUCAUAUGCUUUGCGACUCUGGUCUUGGAUGUUUAUUAUCUGAUUCGUGGAGUAUUACACUUACACUAAAGGCUUUUAAACUUUUUAUUCAAAUUUCUCAAUAAGGAGAUUUUUAUUGGAGCUUUGGACAAUCAUGUACUUGUAUACAGCAGCCUGUUCAAAUACCUGCUCUUCCAGAAAAAGCUGGUACUCACCCUUUUGUUAUGCCCGUUGUAUCGAAUGAUAGAUACUCUUUGAGGCAGAGCUUGUUUGAAUUCUCUCUUUUAUUGCAGUGUUGUUUCACAAUAAAUUGUAUGGAUGUUAUUUGGCUUAUGACAGUUAAACUCCACAUAAAUGUUAAAACUGAUGGAGAGGACCAUAGCUUACGCUAAGGUCUUACGGAGGCGGCUUCCUAAAAAUAAAGUUGGAGUUGCUGAUAUUUUUUAAGAAUAUUUUAAAGUUGCCAGUCUCAUGAAUUUUGUAAUGCUGUUUAGCUUAAAAAUUUAAGCUCUUAAAUUUAAGGAAGCUUAGUCUCAUGAAUUCUGAUGUUGGUCUUUUGUACGAUGUGCAGUAUUUAUGGAAAUUUAAUUUACAUAAUUGUCAAGCGGCAAAUAAAAUUCUUAAGCUGGUGGAACAAUUUCUAGUCCCACCCCAAUUUUACCUGCUCAAAUAUACAGACCUAAAAAGUAGGAGCUAAGCCCCCACAAGACCUCAGCCUUAACAAACAAUUUCUGAGAAUGUGCACCUAUAGGUAUCGCCUUUUCAAAGGGCCAAGGCAGUUAUAAACGAUUCUUUAGUUCAAAGUUCUUCAUGAUCCUUUCCACUUCUUGACAUCUGAUUCUAGUUUAAGACAUUUGAUUGAUUUUUAUAUUUAAAAAAAAACCAUAUUUGGUUGUCUUUUAGAAUAGUUUCCUAUUUUCUUAACAAUGGAAAAUAUACAACUGCUAGAUUAAAGUCAAACAGCUCAAGGAAAUAAGGUAGUUUGUUUGCUAAUAUCAUGCUCUGCAGUUUGUUCAUUGAAAAUCCUAGUAUCUUUAAUUUGUUACUUGAAUUCCAGUACAAGUACUCUGUAUUUGUUGUACAUUGGAUAUGUUUUAAGCAUUUUUCCUUAUUUUUUAGGCAACAAUUUUAUGUAGCAGUUUUCCUGGAUGUCAAUUACACCCACAUUUCAGAAAAUUCUAUACCGUCUAGCACACUUUUAUGAAGCUUGGAAAGAGGAAAAUAUUAUAUAAUCUACAGAGGAAAAACAUUGCUGAAAAAUUAUAUAAGUUGUUUGCUCAAUAAUUGGAAGAAACGUGGCAGUCAACAGUGUCCUGUUCCAGACUCAACACCGUGUGGCUCAGAAAGUUGUCUUUGUUGAGAAAGGAGUUUCAUGGUAUUUCCAGAAUUGAUGGUAAUGAGAAUUCUCGCAACUUUAUCAUCAAGCCUCAAGAUGUACAAACGGUGGGAAUAUGUACUAUUUCAGGCUUUGAGAGUGCUACCCUGAAUUACAUGGUUAAUUUAUUGCUUGGCCAGUGAGAAAAAAUUAACGGCGGAAAGCAGUGCUGAUGGUAAGAUUGUUCAGAACAAGAGAGGAUGAACUAAGGAUAUUGGCUCCGUUGCCUAGGAUGACUUGCCAGGUCUAUUGAACUGCACAGAGCAUGUGAAAGGAAGAUACACAAGAUCAUUUCUCUCGCAGUACCAAUUCAGAAUUUAGGUGACGUUAUACAAUCUAUUUCUUGCAACACUAUAGUCCCAUUAGAGGCUUUGUUUCAUCAUCCUUAUAAGUGGAUACUUUCUUUUUUUUGCCUCC
Molecule: long non-coding RNA, 3605 nt
Organism: Cryptomeria japonica (Japanese cedar)
Lineage: Eukaryota; Viridiplantae; Streptophyta; Pinopsida; Cupressales; Cupressaceae
Exons: 3
Source: RefSeq, a predicted model, not a curated record